UACGGAGGGGGCUAGCGUUGUUCGGAAUUACUGGGCGUAAAGCGCACGUAGGCGGCUAUUCAAGUCAGAGGUGAAAGCCCAGGGCUCAACCUUGGAACUGCCUUUGAAACUAGAUAGCUAGAAUUCUGGAGAGGUCAGUGGAAUUCCGAGUGUAGAGGUGAAAUUCGUAGAUAUUCGGAAGAACACCAGUGGCGAAGGCGACUGACUGGACAGAUAUUGACGCUGAGGUGCGAAAGCGUGGGGAGCAAACAGG
RNAcentral lists this ribosomal RNA (253 nucleotides) under uncultured bacterium. RNAcentral describes it as "partial 16S ribosomal RNA". It matches the Rfam family "Bacterial small subunit ribosomal RNA", at positions 524 to 776 of the family's 1533-position model. The record is from RNAcentral.